GGGACCCGAAAGGCUAUGUCGGACCAUGAACUAAAUCUGGCAUUAGCGGGGAUGAAAAGAUGAUGAAAACAUACUCGAAAACAUGUUUGGAGAGUCUCGGUUCGAUUUGAAAAGAAUCGGAGGUCAAACGAGCAAAAACGAGCGAAAACGGACCCCGAAAACGAAAAAGGCUGAAAUUUGGCUAAGUCCUAAAAAUGCUGAAAUUCUGGUCCUUCGGGGACCGGUCUCUCACUGCCUGGGACCGGUCCCAGAGCGCGAAAAACACCCAGUUUGAGCUGUUGCAAGGUUGGAGAAGUAGAGGGGCUUAUUUGGAAAUGUUACAAUAUGAGAGGGGAUUAAGAGAGCAUUUUCUCUCUCUCUUUCUCUCAUUUCCCUCACUCCCUCACAUUUCUCUCUCCCUCUCUCUCUCUCUAAACGAAAUAGAAGAAAGGGAAGAAGAGAAAGAAGGAGAAGAAGAAGGAGAAGAAGGUCAAGAAGGUGGAGCUUCACCAUCUUCAUCUUCUUCCUUGGGUUUGGAGUAAGCUUUGGAGAGGUAAGCUUAAGCUCUUUAAUGGUGAUUUCUUAGGGUUGGGUUUUCAUACUCUAAGAAUGGUUUAGAUGGAAUCCUAGCAAGUGUAGUUGAUGUUUAAUACUUGAAUCCAAAGCUUUAAUGGGGGAUUUUCCAUAGUUGCAAUAUAGGGCUCCAAAUGAGGGCUUUAAUGGUAGAUUACUAGAGCUUGGGUUUUAA
Molecule: long non-coding RNA, 727 nt
Filed under: Ananas comosus (pineapple)
Lineage: Eukaryota; Viridiplantae; Streptophyta; Magnoliopsida; Poales; Bromeliaceae
Description: long non-coding RNA (ACOM_LNC038303)
Source: RNAcentral